AGAUUGAACGCUGGCGGCAUGCUUUACACAUGCAAGUCGAACGGUAACAGGCCGCAAGGUGCUGACGAGUGGCGAACGGGUGAGUAAUGCAUCGGAACGUGCCCAGUCGUGGGGGAUAACGCAGCGAAAGCUGUGCUAAUACCGCAUACGAUCUAUGGAUGAAGGCGGGGGACCGAAAGGCCUCGCGCGAUUGGAGCGGCCGAUGUCAGAUUAGCUAGUUGGUGGGGUAAAGGCCCACCAAGGCGACGAUCUGUAGCUGGUCUGAGAGGACGACCAGCCACACUGGAACUGAGACACGGUCCAGACUCCUACGGGAGGCAGCAGUGGGGAAUUUUGGACAAUGGGCGCAAGCCUGGAUCCAGCAAUGCCGCGUGCAGGAAGAAGGCCUUCGGUUGUAAACUGCUUUUGUACGAACGAAACGGUCUGGUUAAUACCGUCGGACUAAGUCGACGGUACCGUAAGAAUAAGACACCGGACUAACUACGU
This 486-nucleotide ribosomal RNA is filed under the name uncultured soil bacterium. RNAcentral's name for it is "bacterial SSU rRNA". It matches the Rfam family "Bacterial small subunit ribosomal RNA", at positions 26 to 506 of the family's 1533-position model. The record is from RNAcentral.